UGGGGAAUCUUGCGCAAUGGGCGAAAGCCUGACGCAGCGACGCCGCGUGCGGGAAGAAGGCCUUCGGGUUGUAAACCGCUUUCAGGAGGGACGAAGCCACUCGGGUGAACAGCCCAGAGGGUGACGGUACCUCCAGAAGAAGCCCCGGCUAACUACGUGCCAGCAGCCGCGGUAAUACGUAGGGGGCGAGCGUUGUCCGGAUUUAUUGGGCGUAAAGCGCGUGUAGGCGGCCGGAUAGGUCUGCUGUGAAAACUCGAGGCUCAACCUCGAGCUGUCGGCGGAAACCAUUCGGCUAGAGUCCGGAAGAGGAGAGUGGAAUUCCCGGUGUAGCGGUGAAAUGCGCAGAUAUCGGGAAGAACACCUGUGGCGAAGGCGGCUCUCUGGGACGGUACUGACGCUGAGACGCGAAAGCGUGGGGAGCAAACAGGAUUAGAUACCCUGGUAGUCCACGCCGUAAACGAUGGGUGCUAGGUGUGGGGAGUGUCGACUCUCUCCGUGCCGAAGCUAACG
Molecule: ribosomal RNA, 510 nt
Filed under: uncultured Actinomycetes bacterium
Lineage: Bacteria; Bacillati; Actinomycetota; Actinomycetes
Description: bacterial SSU rRNA
Rfam family: Bacterial small subunit ribosomal RNA
Source: RNAcentral